UCCUAAAAUCUCUAUACCUAGAAUAGGUC
This 29-nucleotide small RNA is filed under the name Bombyx mori (domestic silkworm). RNAcentral describes it as "ovarian small RNA-27661". The record is from RNAcentral. Lineage: Eukaryota; Metazoa; Arthropoda; Insecta; Lepidoptera; Bombycidae.